GUCUGCGGCCAUACCACUCUGAACGCGCCUGAUCUUAUCUGAUCUCAGAAGCUAAGCAGGGUUGGGCCUGGUUAGUACUUGGAUGGGAAAAAAGACAACAAUAACUCUAGACA
RNAcentral lists this ribosomal RNA (113 nucleotides) under Propithecus coquereli (Coquerel's sifaka). The record is from RNAcentral. Lineage: Eukaryota; Metazoa; Chordata; Mammalia; Primates; Indriidae.